RNAcentral lists this ribosomal RNA (880 nucleotides) under Streptomyces sp. RNAcentral's name for it is "bacterial SSU rRNA". It matches the Rfam family "Bacterial small subunit ribosomal RNA", at positions 56 to 948 of the family's 1533-position model. The record is from RNAcentral. Lineage: Bacteria; Bacillati; Actinomycetota; Actinomycetes; Kitasatosporales; Streptomycetaceae.
UGCAGUCGACGAUGAAGCCGCUUCGGUGGUGGAUUAGUGGCGAACGGGUGAGUAACACGUGGGCAAUCUGCCCUGCACUCUGGGACAAGCCCUGGAAACGGGGUCUAAUACCGGAUAAUACCUGCCGAGGCAUCUUGGCGGGUUGAAAGCUCCGGCGGUGCAGGAUGAGCCCGCGGCCUAUCAGCUUGUUGGUGGGGUGAUGGCCUACCAAGGCGACGACGGGUAGCCGGCCUGAGAGGGCGACCGGCCACACUGGGACUGAGACACGGCCCAGACUCCUACGGGAGGCAGCAGUGGGGAAUAUUGCACAAUGGGCGAAAGCCUGAUGCAGCGACGCCGCGUGAGGGAUGACGGCCUUCGGGUUGUAAACCUCUUUCAGCAGGGAAGAAGCGCAAGUGACGGUACCUGCAGAAGAAGCGCCGGCUAACUACGUGCCAGCAGCCGCGGUAAUACGUAGGGCGCAAGCGUUGUCCGGAAUUAUUGGGCGUAAAGAGCUCGUAGGCGGCUUGUUGCGUCGGAUGUGAAAGCCCGGGGCUUAACCCCGGGUCUGCAUUCGAUACGGGCAGGCUAGAGUUCGGUAGGGGAGAUCGGAAUUCCUGGUGUAGCGGUGAAAUGCGCAGAUAUCAGGAGGAACACCGGUGGCGAAGGCGGAUCUCUGGGCCGAUACUGACGCUGAGGAGCGAAAGCGUGGGGAGCGAACAGGAUUAGAUACCCUGGUAGUCCACGCCGUAAACGUUGGGAACUAGGUGUGGGCGACAUUCCACGUCGUCCGUGCCGCAGCUAACGCAUUAAGUUCCCCGCCUGGGGAGUACGGCCGCCAAGGCUAAAACUCAAAGGAAUUGACGGGGGGCCCGCACAAGCAGCGGGAGCAUGUGGCUUA